UGGGGGAUAUUGCACAAUGGGGGAAACCCUGAUGCAGCGACGCCGCGUGUGGGAAGGCGGUCCUCUGGAUUGUAAACCACUGUCCCCAGGGACGAAGAUGACGGUACCUGGGGAGGAAGCUCCGGCUAACUACGUGCCAGCAGCCGCGGUAAUACGUAGGGAGCGAGCGUUGUCCGGAAUUACUGGGUGUAAAGGGAGCGUAGGCGGGGUUGCAAGUUGGGUGUCAAAUCUACCGGCUCAACUGGUAGUCGCACUCAAAACUGCAGCUCUUGAGUGGAGUAGAGGCAGGCGGAAUUCCUAGUGUAGCGGUGAAAUGCGUAGAUAUUAGGAGGAACACCAGUGGCGAAGGCGGCCUGCUGGGCUUUUACUGACGCUGAGGCUCGAAAGUGUGGGGAGCAAACAGGAUUAGAUACC
Molecule: ribosomal RNA, 414 nt
Filed under: uncultured bacterium
Lineage: Bacteria
Description: bacterial SSU rRNA
Rfam family: Bacterial small subunit ribosomal RNA
Source: RNAcentral